CCAGACUCCUACGGGAGGCAGCAGUGAGGAAUAUUGGUCAAUGGGCUUACGCCUGAACCAGCCAAGUCGCGUGAGGGAAGACUGCCCUAUGGGUUGUAAACCUCUUUUGUCAGGGAGCAAAGUCACCCACGUGUGGGUGUUGGAGAGUACCUGAAGAAAAAGCAUCGGCUAACUCCGUGCCAGCAGCCGCGGUAAUACGGAGGAUGCGAGCGUUAUCCGGAUUUAUUGGGUUUAAAGGGUGCGUAGGCGGGCUGUUAAGUCAGCGGUCAAAUGUCGGGGCUCAACCCCGGCCUGCCGUUGAAACUGGCGGCCUCGAGUGGGCGAGAAGUAUGCGGAAUGCGUGGUGUAGCGGUGAAAUGCAUAGAUAUCACGCAGAACCCCGAUUGCGAAGGCAGCCUUCCGGCGCCCUACUGACGCUGAGGCACGAAAGUGCGGGGAUCGAACAGGAUUAGAUACCCGCGUAAA
RNAcentral lists this ribosomal RNA (465 nucleotides) under uncultured bacterium. RNAcentral describes it as "bacterial SSU rRNA". It matches the Rfam family "Bacterial small subunit ribosomal RNA", at positions 331 to 794 of the family's 1533-position model. The record is from RNAcentral.